Trachemys scripta elegans is the source of this 1756-nucleotide long non-coding RNA. RefSeq lists it as uncharacterized. Lineage: Eukaryota; Metazoa; Chordata; Testudines; Emydidae. The record is from RefSeq and is a predicted model, not a curated record. The transcript is spliced from 3 exons.
AUGAAUUUGACACUGGACUGUUAUGUUGUCAUGAAAACUGUUUUGUGGUAAUUAUUGGGAAUGUUUACUGUAUGAAUGGAUGAAGUUUAAAUCAUUGACUACAUCUGUGUUUACCUUUCUCAAAAAGAGGUGGAAGAACAUCCCUGAGGUACACGGGAAGUUCCCACUGCUCUGUUCUUUUUCCUAUUGGGGUACAGAUGUAAUGGAGUAAUGUAUAUAAGUAUGUAUCUAUAUCAAACUACAAAUUGUUUUGUGAAUGCUAUUUUGAUUGUAAAACUGUACUGUACUUUCACUGUUGCCUUUUAAUCUCUAAAUAGAACUGGGAUUCCUGGAAGUGCUGGCAGAGAGCUAACAAAUGAGCAAUCAGGAAUCUUUAACCAAAGGGAACCAUCCUAGGACAAUGUGCUAGUUGCAGCCCAAAGAACUGCUAACUUCUGCUUGACUGAAGCUCUGGUCUUGGGGCCUGAUUCAAAGCCUACUGAUUCAACUGGAAGACUCCUAUUGUCUUCAUUGAGUUUUGGAUCAAGACAUAAAGCACCUCCAAAUUGGUUGACUUCAUUUAAUCAAUAGGUAUGCCGUUGAGUUUAUUGUGAGAUGCGGAGAGAAGAUGGAGGAAAGAGAUGAGGGGAGGAAACUAAAGCACUUGGAAUCUAAUACUCAGUUUUUUCACUUCUUAAAAAUGGGCAGUUUCAAAUUAUUUUAUGAACAUGACUGUGAAACCUGUGAAAUGACCUCUGUCCUCAGGCCCUUUUGCAAAAUGCACUGACAUUGAAAGAAGUCUUCCAGAGGAAAAAUGUUUUGCACCAUUUAUAAAAUGUGUUUAGAUUUCUGAAGAAAUUUCACAAAGCAAAAGCCAACUUUAGACGAGCUCAUUAAUUCCAAUCCCUGUUCGCUAGCAGCUAAGUUAAAAGCUGGAAUGCAGGCACAUAGCAUAGCAGUAUCAAUUAUAAUAGUAAGAUGACUAAUGAGAUCAGUGAUAUUUGAAUGAUACUGAGGCUGAAAAUUACACCUUUCCUGCAGAGUAAAGGUUGAAGGAGAUCCUUGCAUUCAGUCUAUAAUUUCUCCUAUACAGGGAAUAUGUGGCUGUUAGACCUUCUAUUGAUUUUUUUUUCUUUUUUCUUUGACAAUCCAGCAAGAGUUCCCCACUCCCACAGCUGCUGUGUGUGGCUUAUCUCUGUGUAGCUUUAUAAUGGCUUUUUCCUCUGAUAUGUUGUUCUAAUCUGUACCUUUUUGAUAAGUAAGAUGCCAGGUUUGCAAGAUUUAAAUGUUACUGUAACACAAUAGUAUGAUGCAUUAUCCUUUUGGCUGGUGUCAACAUGAUGUCUUGUGCAAGGAAAACCAGAACUCUGCCCUCAGAUGUAGAAGUGUGAAAAGUUGCACCUGAGUCUAUGAGGGACAGAUAUAUUGUGCCCAUCAUUUUGAAUGUAAGAAUGUUUUCUUCUGUUAGGCUCCAAUUCUGAAAAAAACAUUUUUCUGUGUUCUUAAAAUCAUCCCUAGUCAGCAAAGACUUAAGAAAUAUUGUAUUGUUGUAAGUUUUGUGCUCUGGGUUCUUUGGAAGUGUAAGGAAGAUGUUGCAAACAGCAAGAUCAUUUGCUUUCUGCCUUAAUCUCCCUAGGAAGAGUCAGUUAUUGGGCUAGAGUAUAUUCUGGGAACUGGGGGCUGGUGUGUGAGUUAAGAUUUCUGAGAAAGGGGAUUUGCCUGUAUGCUGUUUGACCACUGUUCAAGGACUGGUAUAUAAAAUGUAAAUAAACAAAAU